RNAcentral lists this long non-coding RNA (489 nucleotides) under Ananas comosus (pineapple). RNAcentral describes it as "long non-coding RNA (ACOM_LNC009497)". Lineage: Eukaryota; Viridiplantae; Streptophyta; Magnoliopsida; Poales; Bromeliaceae. The record is from RNAcentral.
UGUAUUAAAUAAUUGGUUGAUAAGGAUUAUGGGAUUAUGGGAAAAUACCCAUGAUUGUUAUUUGAUUGUCAGUGAUAACCAUUAAUCUCGAAAACUCGAACUAUUACUAAUACGCAAUUAAUUCACUUAAAGAGUAUAAAUACACGACCCACGAGUCUUAAUUUUGACUUGGCCUAACUAAACUCAUGUCAUUGCAAACAUGGCUGGGCCCAACCCAAUAUCCCGUCAUUUCAAACUUGACUUAGCCCAACCUAGCCCUCUGCCACACGACAGGAUGCUGGCCUCUUUAAACCAACAAUUCCCCCUUCCCUUCCUCCCUCCAAUGCAUAAAUUUGCAGUAUGCAGGAAUAGAGCCCAUGGCCUCUAGCUCUGAUACUACUAGUCAGAUUUGCUAUCAUCACUCCAAUCGGUAGAGAAAGUUUUGUUCUUUUUUUUCUCCUUCCAGGGAGACUUACUCUGAUGUUGGCAAUCGUGUUUGAUUUUGUUACA